This 636-nucleotide long non-coding RNA is filed under the name Solanum tuberosum (potato). Its description in RNAcentral is "long non-coding RNA (STUB_LNC009691)". The record is from RNAcentral. Lineage: Eukaryota; Viridiplantae; Streptophyta; Magnoliopsida; Solanales; Solanaceae.
GGGUGGUGAAGCAGUUGGUGGUGGCUGAGCCGGUGGUGUUUGGUUGUUAACUGGUGGAGGAGAACCAGUGGGUGUAGGUGGAGCUUGGGUAGCUGGUGUUGGAGGCGCUUGGGUAGUGGGUGUAGGUGGUGCUUGGUUAGUGGGUGUUGGAGGAGCCUGGUUAGUGGGUGUUGGUGGAGUCUGUGUAGGUGGUGCUUGAUUAGUAGGGGGUGCCUGUGUUGGUGGUGCCUGUGUAGGUGGUGCUUGGGUAGGGGGUGCCUGUGUUGGUGGUGCCUGCGUAGGUGGUGCUUGGUUAGUAGGGGGUGUCUGUGUUGGUGGUGCCUGUGUAGGUGGUGCUUGGGUAGGGGGUGUUGGAGGUGCUUGACCUCCAACCCCAGCGACGAUAAUGCAGAUCAUAAACCCCAACAAAACAGCAUUAUUCCUACCCAUCAUUUUGACAAUGGAGAGGAGGAAAUUAAAGGAAUGUGAAAGAAGAUAUCUGGUGCUGCUUGGGAAAAGAGAGGUUUGGGAAGGGAAUAUAUAAGAGAUUUUCUAAAAGAAGUAUGGUAUAUAUUUGAAGGUUGGAAAAGAAAGAGUAGAAAGGUGGCAAAUCCAAUUUGUAGUAACAGUGUGAGUUGUGACUACCAAAUACUUAUG